GCCACUGCUAUUGGGGUUCGGCUAAGCCAUGCGAGUGGAGGGCGUCCCGCAAGGGAUGGCCCCGCGGACGGCUCAGUAACACGUCGUCAACCCACCUUAGGGUGGGGGACAACCUCGGGAAACUGAGGAUAAUCCCCCAUAGGCGGGGGAGGCUGGAAUGCGCCCCCGCUGAAAGCUCAGGCGCCCUAGGACGGGACGGCGGCCUAUCAGGUAGUUGGUGGUGUGACG
Molecule: ribosomal RNA, 228 nt
Filed under: uncultured archaeon
Lineage: Archaea
Description: partial 16S ribosomal RNA
Rfam family: Archaeal small subunit ribosomal RNA
Source: RNAcentral